CAGUGGGGAAUAUUGCACAAUGGGCGAAAGCCUGAUGCAGCCAUGCCGCGUGUAUGAAGAAGGCCUUCGGGUUGUAAAGUACUUUCAGUUGUGAGGAAGGGGGUGUCGUUAAUAGCGGCAUCUCUUGACGUUAGCAACAGAAGAAGCACCGGCUAACUCCGUGCCAGCAGCCGCGGUAAUACGGAGGGUGCGAGCGUUAAUCGGAAUUACUGGGCGUAAAGCGCAUGCAGGUGGUUCAUUAAGUCAGAUGUGAAAGCCCGGGGCUCAACCUCGGAACUGCAUUUGAAACUGGUGAACUAGAGUACUGUAGAGGGGGGUAGAAUUUCAGGUGUAGCGGUGAAAUGCGUAGAGAUCUGAAGGAAUACCAGUGGCGAAGGCGGCCCCCUGGACAGAUACUGACACUCAGAUGCGAAAGCGUGGGGAGCAAACAGGAUUAGAUACCCUGGUAGUCCACGCCGUAAACGAUGUCUACUUGGAGGUUGUGGCCUUGAGCCGUGGCUUUCGGAGCUAACGCGUUAAGUAGACCGCCUGGGGAGUACGGUCGCAAGAUUAAAACUCAAAUGAAUUGACGGGGGCCCGCACAAGCGGUGGAGCAUGUGGUUUAAUUCGAUGCAACGCGAAGAACCUUACCUACUCUUGACAUCCAGAGAAGCC
RNAcentral lists this ribosomal RNA (654 nucleotides) under Vibrio sp. Its description in RNAcentral is "bacterial SSU rRNA". It matches the Rfam family "Bacterial small subunit ribosomal RNA", at positions 352 to 998 of the family's 1533-position model. Lineage: Bacteria; Pseudomonadati; Pseudomonadota; Gammaproteobacteria; Vibrionales; Vibrionaceae. The record is from RNAcentral.